RNAcentral lists this RNase P RNA (400 nucleotides) under Candidatus Electryonea clarkiae. RNAcentral's name for it is "RNase P RNA component class A". It matches the Rfam family "Bacterial RNase P class A". From Rfam's summary of the family: Ribonuclease P (RNase P) is a ubiquitous endoribonuclease, found in archaea, bacteria and eukarya as well as chloroplasts and mitochondria. The record is from RNAcentral. Lineage: Bacteria; Pseudomonadati; Candidatus Electryoneota; Candidatus Electryoneia; Candidatus Electryoneales; Candidatus Electryoneaceae.
CGAGGUGGCUGGACGGUCGCUGUGCUGUUUAUGCAGUUGCAGAGGAAAGUCCGAACUCCGUAGGGCAGAAUGCCGGUUAACAACCGGGCGUCGCGAGGCGACGGAAAGUGCAACAGAGAAAAGACCGCCGAUGGUUAGUCAAAUGACUGACACAGGCAAGGGUGAAACGGUGAGGUAAGAGCUCACCGCGUCCUCCGGUAACGGAGACGGCAUGGUAAACCCCAUUCGGAGCAAUGCCAAAUAGGCAGGGAUCAGUCAGCUGACUGACCGGGUCUGCCCGUCCCGGUUGACCUGUGGGUAGGCUGCAUGAGCUUCGCUGCAAAGCGGAGCCAAGAUAGAUGACCGUACAAUCCCGCCUCGGCGGGAUGGACAGAAUUCGGCUUAUAAGCCGCCUCAUUCU